Molecule: ribosomal RNA, 503 nt
Filed under: Pycnonotus plumosus (olive-winged bulbul)
Lineage: Eukaryota; Metazoa; Chordata; Aves; Passeriformes; Pycnonotidae
Description: partial 16S ribosomal RNA
Rfam family: Bacterial large subunit ribosomal RNA
Source: RNAcentral
AUUGAAGGUGAUGCCUGCCCGGUGACAGAUGUUUAACGGCCGCGGUAUCCUAACCGUGCAAAGGUAGCGCAAUCAAUUGUCCCGUAAAUCGGGACUAGUAUGAAUGGCUAAACGAGGUCUUAACUGUCUCUUACAGGCAAUCAGUGAAAUUGAUCUCCCUGUGCAAAAGCAGGGAUAACCACAUAAGACGAGAAGACCCUGUGGAACUUCAAAAACAGCAACCACCCUAAAAUACAUACACACCCACCCCGGGCUCACUUAACUUACAGGUGACUGGUCUGCAUUUUUUCGGUUGGGGCGACCUUGGAGCAAAACAAAACCUCCAAAUAUUAGACCAUUCCUCUAGACUGAGAGCAACUCCUCAACGUGCUAAUAGCAACCAGAUCCAAUACAAUUGAUCAAUGGACCAAGCUACCCCAGGGAUAACAGCGCAAUCUCCUUCGAGAGUCCAUAUCGACGGGGAGGUUUACGACCUCGAUGUUGGAUCAGGACAUCCUAAUGGU